AGAUAUUUCAUGUAUACUAGUGUAGAGACCCGCGCGAUGCGGCGGGUAAGAAUAUUUUAGUAAAAAUUUACGGAUUUAAUAAACAAAUAAAAAUAUGGAAACUGUUGGGAAUCCGGUACUCGUCCCGGUACCGGAUCUUGUGAAUUCGCAACCCGCUCCGAUACCGACUGCUGUGGAUUCGGUACCGAUUGUUGGGAUUCCGCAACAGAAGCGUCAAAUCGAAUUUUUACCAUAAACCCGUCUCCUCAGCAAAAGCUGAUACAAUCAUAAAAGAGAGAAAUAUACAGGUAAAAUAAGAUUCAUUAAAUAAGAGAAUAUUACACCUGACUCCUCUUCUGCACAGAGUAGCUACAACCCGAGCCCUCUUUCUGAAUCUCUUCUACCCUUCUCUCGUCUUCUAUAACACCCAAAGAAGAUAACCUCUCCACGUGCACCCGUGCACAAGGUGCACUCAAAGAAUGGCUAUUCUCUCUCUCUCUCUUUCUCUCUGGUACGGUAGCCCAAAAGCUCCGGCCGUACUUUCCAACUCUAAAAAAAGCCUCUAAUGCAUUAUAUAAUGCUCAAACAAGAAUGUACCCAAUCCUAGUAUAUUUAGGAUUUCGACUUUAAUGAAUAUCUAAAUCUAUCUUAAUUAAUCUCUAAUAGAUUUAAAUAUUAAUCCUAAUCUACUUAGAUUUUAUCCUCUAAUUAAUAUUUAAAUCUUUGUUUAUCUCCAACAGAUUUAAAUAUUAAUCCUGAUUCAAAUAGAAUUCAACUACAAAUCUAACCAAAUCCUAACAGAAACUAAUUUAAUAAUAUAAAAAAUACAGAAAAAAUUUUAGAAUAGAAUUACAAUCUAAUAGGAAACAAUGUAAGAAACGAAAAAAGUAAGAAGUAUAGGAGUAAGAAAAAGAUUAUAUAGAUAUCCUAAAGAGAUAUUUAGAAUGUUGUGAAGAAGUAUAACAAAUAAUAAAAGAUAGACUGAAGAGGUUCAAAUUCAUAUUUAACUAAUCAUAUAAAAAGAUUUAUCUGUUCUAUUCUCUUUUCUAACCCAAAUAAGAUUUCUCUUAAACACUAACUAUUAUUGCAUUUACCUAUGGACAUAAAAAUUGCCAUGCCAUUAUAGAAUUAGUACAGAAUGUAAAGGAACUGAAGGAAAUGUAGUAAGAAAUAUAUGACAUUCAUAUAAAUAAAUUUUAAAAGUAAUAAUAGUUAGUUUUAACUACCUAAAUUGUAAAGACCCAAUUUUCAUGCAUCCAUGAGCCAAACAAUCUAUAUAUUAUAUUUAUUCUGUUGAUGCAACAGGACAAUUUAAUCAGUAUUUUUAAUAAUUUUACUUUGUCAAUUUUUAUAUAACUCAAAUAACUUAUUUAUGAACAGUAGUGUACAAUAAAGAAAAAAUUUCUUUAUCAUUUAUUAUGAAGCAACAACCCGUAAAAAGUAGAAAUUAAUAAGGCAAGAAGUCGAAGAGAUAACGAUUUUACAGAAAAAAUGAAUGUGCACAAAUGAAGAGUGAAGUGAUUGGAGAGUAGCAUUUAAUGAGGUAGAAGCUAAAAAGGCAAAGAUGUUAUGGGAAAGGCGAGUGAACACAUUUAAUGAGGGGGGAAGCCGAAGAGGCAACGAUAUUAUUGGGAAGACAAACAGACACACUAUGAAGGAACGAACGAAGCAAAGCGGUUGAAAAUUAGAAAUCGAGAAAAGGAGAUACUCUUGAGGUGGGUCCCAUGAGCAAAACUUAAGGAGAGCACGCCACGUAGGAUAAGAUUAUGAAGAUUAAUAGUAUUUUAUAGAUUUAUAGAUUAUAGAUUAUAGAUAUACUUUGUAUGCAUUUUGAAAGAGGGGUAAUUUGGUCAUCUUUUUAAAAAUUUAGACCAAAUUUGCGAAAUUCAAAAAGACGGCCUGCCUUUACAAAAUCUCAAAAUUAGUGAAUUUUUUUAUGUAAAUUG
This 1925-nucleotide long non-coding RNA is filed under the name Ananas comosus (pineapple). RNAcentral's name for it is "long non-coding RNA (ACOM_LNC021399)". Lineage: Eukaryota; Viridiplantae; Streptophyta; Magnoliopsida; Poales; Bromeliaceae. The record is from RNAcentral.